GCGGGUGUGGUGAAAUUGGUAGACACGCCAUCUUGAGGGGGUGGUGAGCUUGCUCGUGGAGGUUCAAAUCCUCUCACCCGCACCA
This 85-nucleotide transfer RNA is filed under the name Oceanospirillaceae bacterium. RNAcentral's name for it is "tRNA-Leu". It matches the Rfam family "tRNA". From Rfam's summary of the family: Transfer RNA (tRNA) molecules are approximately 80 nucleotides in length. Their secondary structure includes four short double-helical elements and three loops (D, anti-codon, and T loops). Lineage: Bacteria; Pseudomonadati; Pseudomonadota; Gammaproteobacteria; Oceanospirillales; Oceanospirillaceae. The record is from RNAcentral.